RNAcentral lists this ribosomal RNA (487 nucleotides) under uncultured bacterium. RNAcentral describes it as "bacterial SSU rRNA". It matches the Rfam family "Bacterial small subunit ribosomal RNA", at positions 29 to 531 of the family's 1533-position model. The record is from RNAcentral.
AUUGAACGCUGGCGGCAUGCUUUACACAUGCAAGUCGAACGGCAGCGCGGGGGCAACCCUGGCGGCGAGUGGCGAACGGGUGAGUAAUGUAUCGGAACGUAUCCUGUAAUGGGGGAUAACCAGUCGAAAGAUUGGGUAAUACCGCAUACGCACGAGAGUGGAAAGUAGGGGAUCGCAAGACCUUACGUUAUAGGAGCGGCCGAUAUCUGAUUAGCUAGUUGGUGGGGUAAAGGCCUACCAAGGCGACGAUCAGUAGCUGGUCUGAGAGGACGACCAGCCACACUGGGACUGAGACACGGCCCAGACUCCUACGGGGGCAGCAGUGGGGGAUCUUGCACAAUGGGCGAAAGCCUGAUGCAGCGACGCCGCGUGAGCGAAGAAGGCCUUCGGGUUGUAAAGCUCUGUCUGGAGGGACGAAGGAAGUGACGGUACUCCGGAGGAAGCCACGGCUAACUACGUGCCAGCAGCCGCGGUAAGAUCACGUGUA